GAUGAACGCUGGCGGCGUGCCUAAUACAUGCAAGUCGAGCGAACAGAUGAGGAGCUUGCUCCUCUGACGUUAGCGGCGGACGGGUGAGUAACACGUGGAUAACCUACCUAUAAGACUGGGAUAACUUCGGGAAACCGGAGCUAAUACCGGAUAAUAUAUUGAACCGCAUGGUUCAAUAGUGAAAGACGGUUUUGCUGUCACUUAUAGAUGGAUCCGCGCCGCAUUAGCUAGUUGGUAAGGUAACGGCUUACCAAGGCAACGAUGCGUAGCCGACCUGAGAGGGUGAUCGGCCACACUGGAACUGAGACACGGGCCAGACUCCUACGGGAGGCAGCAGUAGGGAAUCUUCCGCAAUGGGCGAAAGCCUGACGGAGCAACGCCGCGUGAGUGAUGAAGGUCUUCGGAUCGUAAAACUCUGUUAUGAGGGAAGAACAAAUGUGUAAGUAACUAUGCACGUCUUGACGGUACCUAAUCAGAAAGCCACGGCUAACUACGU
RNAcentral lists this ribosomal RNA (496 nucleotides) under uncultured bacterium. RNAcentral's name for it is "partial 16S ribosomal RNA". It matches the Rfam family "Bacterial small subunit ribosomal RNA", at positions 28 to 506 of the family's 1533-position model. The record is from RNAcentral.